UUUAAUUUUUUGAAAAAUCUCAAGAAAAUUUGUUUUAUUUUUUUAAAAAUUUUAAAAUGAAAGUUUUAUUCUUGCUUAAAUAUUUAUUAUUUCUUUAUAUUAUAUGUAAGUUUUGUAAAACUAAAUGUUCUUUUUGCCAGUAAUUUAAUUUAAUUAUCCAAUUUAUUUUGGAAUUAGUAAUUGAUUUUAGUAUCAGCAUAUUUCGUGCCAGCAGCCGCGGUUAUACGAUUGAUACAAAUGAAUAUUUUUGGUUAUAGCAGUUAUUAUAUUUUUUGAGUGUAAUUUUAGAUUUUUGAGGUGAAAUUUAAUUUUUAAAAAAUUACUCUUUUUAUGAUUCUGUGAAAUUUAAAUAAAAAACUAGGAUUAGAUACCCUAUUAUUUUAAGUGUAAAAUAUUUAUUUACCUGGAUAUUAUUAGUUAAGAUCUUUAAAUCUAAAGAAUUUGGCGGUAUCUUAAUCUAUUCAGAGGAACCUACCCCGUUAUUGAUAGUACACGAUUAACUUUACUUAAUUUAUUUGUUUGUAUAUCUCCGUUAUCAGAAAAUCUUUUUAGAGUUAUAAUUUUCUUAAUUUAUAAUUAUAAAAUAUUUCAGGUCAAGGUGCAGCUUAUGAUUAAGAGAAGGUGGGUUACAAUAGAUUUUUUUUAUAUGAAUUUGAUAAUGAAACAUUGUUAAUGAAGGUGGAUUUGAUGGUAAAUUAAUUUAUUUAAUUUAAUUGAUAUUAGCUCUGAGGUGUGUACACAUCGCCCGUCGCUCUCAAUAUUAAGUAUAAUUAUAAUUAUUUUGUGUAUUUAAAUUAAUUGAGAUAAGUCGUAACAUAGUAGAUGUACUGGAAAGUGUAUCUAGUAAGAUUAU
Molecule: non-coding RNA, 853 nt
Filed under: Oxya agavisa
Lineage: Eukaryota; Metazoa; Arthropoda; Insecta; Orthoptera; Acrididae
Source: RNAcentral